This 477-nucleotide ribosomal RNA is filed under the name Staphylococcus aureus. Its description in RNAcentral is "bacterial LSU rRNA". It matches the Rfam family "Bacterial large subunit ribosomal RNA", at positions 1986 to 2462 of the family's 2925-position model. Lineage: Bacteria; Bacillati; Bacillota; Bacilli; Caryophanales; Staphylococcaceae. The record is from RNAcentral.
ACCCGCACGAAAGGCGUAACGAUUUGGGCACUGUCUCAACGAGAGACUCGGUGAAAUCAUAGUACCUGUGAAGAUGCAGGUUACCCGCGACAGGACGGAAAGACCCCGUGGAGCUUUACUGUAGCCUGAUAUUGAAAUUCGGCACAGCUUGUACAGGAUAGGUAGGAGCCUUUGAAACGUGAGCGCUAGCUUACGUGGAGGCGCUGGUGGGAUACUACCCUAGCUGUGUUGGCUUUCUAACCCGCACCACUUAUCGUGGUGGGAGACAGUGUCAGGCGGGCAGUUUGACUGGGGCGGUCGCCUCCUAAAAGGUAACGGAGGCGCUCAAAGGUUCCCUCAGAAUGGUUGGAAAUCAUUCAUAGAGUGUAAAGGCAUAAGGGAGCUUGACUGCGAGACCUACAAGUCGAGCAGGGUCGAAAGACGGACUUAGUGAUCCGGUGGUUCCGCAUGGAAGGGCCAUCGCUCAACGGAUAAAAG